ACGACAGAGCCCCUUGCUUUGAACCAAAGAGGACCUCUUCCUACUGCAGGGAAUCUACACACCGCUAAGCGACUGUGGCCAGAGCAUCUCCAAAAUGCAAAGUACUGGACAACUUCUUCAUUCGCUUCGCUGUUUGCCGUGCAAGCCUCUGAGGAAACCCUGGAAUACAGGACUGAAAUGAGAAACUGCCCAGAAUUUUCAAUGAUGUUGGAGAUGUGACUUCACCCAUCGGCAGCAGAGUUGUGAUGUGGUCUGAUUGCCAAUGAAGCAACCGACAUGAAAACAGAGAUGGAGGUGCAUGACCCAGGUCACCUAGUGAGUGGCAAGAUCAGAAUUCUCCACUGGGUCUUCCACAUCUCAAUUUUUCCAGUCUUGCUAACGGGACCUAGGAUAAGACAGCUUUCAUAUUUCAGGAAGGCAUGAAGAACAGGGGGA
Heterocephalus glaber (naked mole-rat) is the source of this 435-nucleotide non-coding RNA. The record is from RefSeq and is a predicted model, not a curated record. Lineage: Eukaryota; Metazoa; Chordata; Mammalia; Rodentia; Bathyergidae.